GACGAACGCUGGCGGCGUGCCUAAUACAUGCAAGUCGAACGAACCGCGACUAAGUGCUUGCACUAAGUCAAGGUGAGUGGCGAACGGGUGAGUAACACGUGGGUAACCUACCUCAUAGUGGGGGAUAACAGUCGGAAACGACUGCUAAUACCGCAUAGGACAUAGGAUCACAUGAUCCAGUGAGGAAAGGUGGCGCAAGCUAUCGCUAAGAGAUGGACCCGCGGUGCAUUAGCUAGUUGGUAGGGUAAAGGCCUACCAAGGCGAUGAUGCAUAGCCGACCUGAGAGGGUGAUCGGCCACAUUGGGACUGAGACACGGCCCAAACUCCUACGGGAGGCAGCAGUAGGGAAUCUUCCGCAAUGGACGCAAGUCUGACGGAGCAACGCCGCGUGAGUGAGGAAGGUCUUCGGAUCGUAAAGCUCUGUUGUUAGAGAAGAACAGCGCAUAGAGUAACUGCUAUGCGUGUGACGGUAUCUAACCAGAAAGCCACGGCUAACUACGUG
This 502-nucleotide ribosomal RNA is filed under the name uncultured bacterium. RNAcentral's name for it is "partial 16S ribosomal RNA". It matches the Rfam family "Bacterial small subunit ribosomal RNA", at positions 28 to 507 of the family's 1533-position model. The record is from RNAcentral.